RNAcentral lists this ribosomal RNA (653 nucleotides) under uncultured bacterium. RNAcentral describes it as "bacterial SSU rRNA". It matches the Rfam family "Bacterial small subunit ribosomal RNA", at positions 111 to 782 of the family's 1533-position model. The record is from RNAcentral.
UAACGCGUGGAUAACCUGCCGUAUACAGGGGGAUAACACUUANAAAUAGGUGCUAAUACCGCAUAAGCGCACGGUUCCGCAUGGAACAGUGUGAAAAACUUCGGUGGUAUACGAUGGAUCCGCGUCUGAUUAGCCAGUUGGCGGGGUAACGGCCCACCAAAGCGACGAUCAGUAGCCGGCCUGAGAGGGUGAACGGCCACAUUGGGACUGAGACACGGCCCAAACUCCUACGGGAGGCAGCAGUGGGGAAUAUUGCACAAUGGGGGAAACCCUGAUGCAGCGACGCCGCGUGAGUGAAGAAGUAUCUCGGUACGUAAAGCUCUAUCAGCAGGGAAGAAAAUGACGGUACCUGAUUAAGAAGCCCCGGCUAACUACGUGCCAGCAGCCGCGGUAAUACGUAGGGGGCAAGCGUUAUCCGGAUUUACUGGGUGUAAAGGGAGCGUAGACGGCAGCGCAAGUCUGGAGUGAAAUGCCGGGGCCCAACCCCGGAACUGCUUUGGAAACUGUGCAGCUCGAGUGCAGGAGAGGUAAGCGGAAUUCCUAGUGUAGCGGUGAAAUGCGUAGAUAUUAGGAGGAACACCAGUGGCGAAGGCGGCUUACUGGACUGUAACUGACGUUGAGGCUCGAAAGCGUGGGGAGCAAACAGGAUUAGA